RNAcentral lists this ribosomal RNA (301 nucleotides) under uncultured bacterium. RNAcentral describes it as "partial 16S ribosomal RNA". It matches the Rfam family "Bacterial small subunit ribosomal RNA", at positions 509 to 807 of the family's 1533-position model. The record is from RNAcentral.
CAGUAGCCGCGGUAAUACGGAGGAUCCGAGCGUUAUCCGGAUUUAUUGGGUUUAAAGGGUGCGUAGGUGGUUUUUUAAGUCAGGGGUGAAAGACGGCAGCUUAACUGUCGCAGUGCCUUUGAUACUGAAGAACUUGAAUGAACCAGAGGUAGGCGGAAUGUGACAAGUAGCGGUGAAAUGCAUAGAUAUGUCACAGAGCACCGAUUGCGAAGGCAGCUUACUAUGGUUUGAUUGACACUGAGGCACGAAAGCGUGGGGAUCAAACAGGAUUAGAUACCCCGGUAGUCCCUGUCUCUUAUAC